This is a long non-coding RNA of Bombina bombina (fire-bellied toad), 155 nucleotides long. RefSeq lists it as uncharacterized. The transcript is spliced from 2 exons. The record is from RefSeq and is a predicted model, not a curated record. NCBI's taxonomy places the organism in Eukaryota, Metazoa, Chordata, Amphibia, Anura, Bombinatoridae.
CCCCAACCCCUCAAUGCCCAUUUGGAGAGAUCUGCAACUAUUCAAGAUUUCUUUUCAGAUUGAAGAUUCUCAGAAAUGGAAUACCACUCCCCUCCCUCUCUCCUCAUCCCUAUAUUUACCACAUUUUCCCUAAAUAAAUGUGUACUUUACUCAAA